Molecule: ribosomal RNA, 710 nt
Filed under: uncultured bacterium
Lineage: Bacteria
Description: bacterial SSU rRNA
Rfam family: Archaeal small subunit ribosomal RNA
Source: RNAcentral
AGGAUUAGAUACCCGGGUAGUCCCAGCUGUAAACGAUGCAGACUAGGUGUUUGGACGGCCACGUGCCGUUCUAGUGCCGCAGGGAAGCUGUUAAGUCUGCCGCCUGGGGAGUACGAUCGCAAGAUUGAAACUUAAAGGAGUUGGCGGGGGAGCACCACAAGGGGUGAAGCUUGCGGUUUAAUUGGAGUCAACGCCGGAAAUCUCACCGGGAGCGACAGCAGUAUGAAAGCCAGAUUGAAGGUCUUGCUAGACGAGCUGAGAGGAGGUGCAUGGCCGUCGCCAGUUCGUGCCGUGAGGUGUCCUGUUAAGUCAGGCAACGAUCGAGACCCGCGUCCUCUGUUGCAACCAGCUUUGAGCUGGGCACACUGAGGAGACCGCCACUGAUAAAGUGGAGGAAGGAGCGGGCCACGGCAGGUCAGUAUGCCCCGAAUCUCCCGGGCCACACGCGAGCUGCAAUGGCAAGUACAAUGGGUUCCGACCUCGAAAGGGGGAGGCAAUCUCGAAAGCUUGCCGUAGUUGGAAUUGAGGGUUGAAACCCACCCUCAUGAACAUGGAAUCCCUAGUAAUCGCGUGUCAUUAGCGCGCGGUGAAUACGUCCCUGCUCCUUGCACACACCGCCCGUCGUUCCAUCCGAGUGACUCUUGGGUGAGGUACCGUCUAAUUGGCGGCAUCGAAUCUAAGUUUCACAAGGAGGGAAAAGUCGUAACAAG